This is a long non-coding RNA of Sphaerodactylus townsendi, 373 nucleotides long. RefSeq lists it as uncharacterized. The record is from RefSeq and is a predicted model, not a curated record. The transcript is spliced from 3 exons. Lineage: Eukaryota; Metazoa; Chordata; Lepidosauria; Squamata; Sphaerodactylidae.
GGCUCCCUCCUCACAGCGUUUGCUCGCGGCAAAAGCCCCAGGGCUCCCGCAGCGAGGGGCGUCCGGGCUGCAGCGCGCCCGUGCUGGCCACGGAGUUCUUCAGCUGCUUGAUGACUCCGAAGAGCAGGAGGAAGAGCAGGAAGAGCAAAAAGAAAAACAGCGCCAGUACAAUCCUUCUUAUACUUAAGAGUUUCAACAAGAUAAAGGACUCUUGGUUUAGAAAUGGAAACAUGUCAUCGUGUAUCUUUGCAUUCUGAAUUUCAGGAUACUGCUGUCCUCCAAGCUGUUCAGUCGCAGGGAUGACCUUCACCUAGGUUUCCUUCAUUUAUACUAGAAUUGCUACAUAACUGGAAAAGAAUAAUGAACAACUCUG